RNAcentral lists this ribosomal RNA (490 nucleotides) under uncultured bacterium. RNAcentral's name for it is "bacterial SSU rRNA". It matches the Rfam family "Bacterial small subunit ribosomal RNA", at positions 28 to 511 of the family's 1533-position model. The record is from RNAcentral.
GAUGAACGCUAGCUACAGGCUUAACACAUGCAAGUCGAGGGGCAGCACAGUGUAGCAAUACAUGGGUGGCGACCGGCGCACGGGUGCGUAACGCGUAUCCAACCUUCCCGUUACUCAGGGAUAGCCUUCCGAAAGGGAGAUUAAUACCUGAUGGUGUUGAAAUUCCGCAUGUUAUUUCAACUAAAGAUUUAUCGGUAACGGAUGGGGAUGCGUGACAUUAGGUAGAUGGCGGGGUAACGGCCCACCAUGCCUACGAUGUCUAGGGGUUCUGAGAGGAAGGUCCCCCACACUGGAACUGAGACACGGUCCAGACUCCUACGGGAGGCAGCAGUGAGGAAUAUUGGUCAAUGGAUGGAAAUCUGAUCCAGCCAUGCCGCGUGCAGGAUGACGGCCCUAUGGGUCUUAAACUUCUUUGUAAGGGAGCAAUAAGUCUCACGUGUGGGAUGAUGAGAGUACCUUACGAAUAAGCAUCGGCUAACUCCGUAGCCAG